AUUGAACGCUGGCGGCAUGCCUUACACAUGCAAGUCGAACGGUAACAGGUUAAGCUGACGAGUGGCGAGCGGGUGAGUAAUGUAUCGGAACGUGCCCAGUCGUAGGGGAUAACUGCUCGAAAGAGCAGCUAAUACCGCAUACGACCUGAGGGUGCAAGCUGGGGAUCGCAAGACCCCGCGCGAUCGGAGCGGCCGAAAUCAGAUUAGGUAGUUGGUGAGGUAAAGGCUCACCAAGCCGACGAUCGGUAGCUGGUCUGAGAGGACGACCAGCCACACUGGGACUGAGACACGGCCCAGACUCCUACGGGAGGCAGCAGUGGGGAAUUUUGGACAAUGGGCGCAAGCCUGAUCCAGCCAUGCCGCGUGCGGGAAGAAGGCCCUCGGGUUGUAAACCGCUUUUGUCAGGGAAGAAAAGGUUCUGGCUAAUACCUGGGACUCAUGACGGUACCUGAAGAAUAAGCACCGGCUAACUACGUGCCAGCAGCCGCCGUAA
This 493-nucleotide ribosomal RNA is filed under the name uncultured bacterium. RNAcentral describes it as "partial 16S ribosomal RNA". It matches the Rfam family "Bacterial small subunit ribosomal RNA", at positions 29 to 523 of the family's 1533-position model. The record is from RNAcentral.